RNAcentral lists this ribosomal RNA (253 nucleotides) under uncultured prokaryote. RNAcentral describes it as "partial 16S ribosomal RNA". It matches the Rfam family "Bacterial small subunit ribosomal RNA", at positions 524 to 776 of the family's 1533-position model. The record is from RNAcentral.
UACAGAGGGUGCAAGCGUUAAUCGGAAUUACUGGGCGUAAAGCGCGUGUAGGUGGUUUGUUAAGUUGGAUGUGAAAGCCCCGGGCUCAACCUGGGAACUGCAUUCAAAACUGACAAGCUAGAGUAUGGUAGAGGGGGGGGGAAUUUCCUGUGUAGCGGUGAAAUGCGUAGAUAUCUGGAGGAACACCGGUGGCGAAGGCGGCAUCCUGGACCGGCAUUGACGCUGAGGCGCGAAAGCCAGGGGAGCAAACGGG